UGGGGAAUUUUGGACAAUGGGCGAAAGCCUGAUCCAGCAAUGCCGCGUGUGUGAAGAAGGCCUUCGGGUUGUAAAGCACUUUUGUCCGGAAAGAAAUCCUUGGCUCUAAUACAGUCGGGGGAUGACGGUACCGGAAGAAUAAGCACCGGCUAACUACGUGCCAGCAGCCGCGGUAAUACGUAGGGUGCAAGCGUUAAUCGGAAUUACUGGGCGUAAAGCGUGCGCAGGCGGUUUGCUAAGACCGAUGUGAAAUCCCCGGGCGUCAACCUGGGAACUGCAUUGGUGACUGGCAGGCUAGAGUAUGGCAGAGGGGGUAGAAUUCCACGUGUAGCAGUGAAAUGCGUAGAGAUGUGGAGGAAUACCGAUGGCGAAGGCAGCCCCCUGGGCCAAUACUGACGCUCAUGCACGAAAGCGUGGGGAGCAAACAGGAUUAGAUACCCUGGUAGUCCACGCCCUAAACGAUGUCAACUAGUUGUUGGGGAUUCAUUUCCUUAGUAACGUAGCUAACGCGUGAAGUUGACCGCCUGGGGAGUACGGUCGCAAGAUU
This 547-nucleotide ribosomal RNA is filed under the name uncultured bacterium. RNAcentral describes it as "partial 16S ribosomal RNA". It matches the Rfam family "Bacterial small subunit ribosomal RNA", at positions 355 to 895 of the family's 1533-position model. The record is from RNAcentral.